Molecule: long non-coding RNA, 437 nt
Organism: Hippocampus comes (tiger tail seahorse)
Lineage: Eukaryota; Metazoa; Chordata; Actinopteri; Syngnathiformes; Syngnathidae
Exons: 4
Source: RefSeq, a predicted model, not a curated record
UGCUUUAUAAGAGCGCUGCAGCCUGGGCACUGGUUUGGCACAAGACUUCCCAGAGCAGGACAUGUAAAAGGCACAAAUAAUAGCCAGUGUCCUCCAUGGCCUUGCUUCAUGAUGAUGAUGAUGAUGAUGAUGAUGUAUGGAAUACACAACUUAAUGAUAAGAGCCACACACUGCAGGCUCGGGAGCACAAAUGAUGGAGCCCUACGAAGUCUGGCAGGUAACAAAGGACUACAAAACCAGACCGGGGAUAGAUUUGAUGAUGUGGAACCGUUGGCUUCUACAAGCCGCGAUCUCGAACUCUCACUGGAGCGGUUCGCAACCGAGCGUAAAGCGGUUGGGGUCAAAAGCAGCACCUCCAAAUCCGAGAUCAUGGUCCUCAGUCAGAAGAGGGUGGAGUGCCCUCUCCGGGGCGGGAUGAGAUCCUGCCCCAAGUGGAG